RNAcentral lists this unclassified non-coding RNA (724 nucleotides) under Bradyrhizobium sp. STM 3081. Its description in RNAcentral is "partial 16S-23S ribosomal RNA intergenic spacer". The stretch from base 601 to 724 matches the Rfam family "Bacterial large subunit ribosomal RNA", at positions 1 to 123 of the family's 2925-position model. Lineage: Bacteria; Pseudomonadati; Pseudomonadota; Alphaproteobacteria; Hyphomicrobiales; Nitrobacteraceae. The record is from RNAcentral.
CGGAGUUCAGUCUUCCCAGGCCCACCACUUUCAUCGAGUGAGCAUUCGUCUUCUGGUUACGGGGCCAUAGCUCAGCUGGGAGAGCGCGUGCUUUGCAAGCAUGAGGUCGUCGGUUCGAUCCCGUCUGGCUCCACCACGCUUCGCCUUUCAGGCUUCGCGUGGCGCAGCCAAGCACGGUCGAAGCGUGCCCGGCGUAGCUCACUUGAGCGUAGACGGGCUGGUUGAGAUCAGCCCGUAACCAUCACCGUCCGCGAAACAUCACUUCGCAUCCUGCUAGUCUGGAUAGACAGCAAGAUGCGUGUUUUCUGACAUCGUAAAGAGGAGAUCGAUCCGAGUUGGGUCGUGCAGCAGAUUGUUGCGCGAAUCCUUCAUUAUCUCCGGAUCAUUUUCGGCGCUCGCUUUCAGCCGUGAGGUUGAAUGCGAGUUGUAAAAUGAUCCUUUUAGCGAAGCUUGACCGCCUCGCUAUCGGAACGAUCUUACGAAGCAAGCUGGUCUUUCUAGUCAAUGUCCGGCUGCACGUAGCAUUCAUCGAGGGUGCGCGCCGUAAGGCAAUCGUGCAGACAACAUUCUGCCGAGUGUGUGGACAUUGAUAAUGAGAGCAAUCAAGUGCCUUAAGGGUGUUCGGUGGAUGCCUUGGCGCUGAGAGGCGAUGAAGGACGUGCUACGCUGCGAUAAGCCGUGGGGAGCUGCGAAGAAGCUUUGAUCCGCGGAUUUCCGAAUGGGG